This 517-nucleotide ribosomal RNA is filed under the name uncultured bacterium. RNAcentral describes it as "bacterial SSU rRNA". It matches the Rfam family "Bacterial small subunit ribosomal RNA", at positions 17 to 518 of the family's 1533-position model. The record is from RNAcentral.
UUAUGGCUCAGAUUGAACGCUGGCGGCGUGCUUAACACAUGCAAGUCGCGCGUGAAAGGACUUCGGUCCGAGUAAAGCGGCGCACGGGUGAGUAACGCGUGGAUGAUCUACCCAUGAGUUAGGAAUAACGGCUGGAAACGGUCGCUAAUACCAAAUACGCUCCGAUUUCAACUUCGGGGGAAAGGUGGCCUCUGCUUGCAAGCUACUGCUCAUGGAUGAGUCCGCGUCCCAUUAGCUAGUUGGUGGGGUAACGGCCCACCAAGGCGACGAUGGGUAGCCGGUCUGAGAGGAUGACCGGCCGCACUGGGACUGGAACACGGCCCAGACUCCUACGGGAGGCAGCAGUGGGGAAUAUUGCGCAAUGGGCGAAAGCCUGACGCAGCGACGCCGCGUGAAGGGAUGAAGGUCCUCGGAUCGUAAACCUCUGUCAGGAGGGAAGAACCGCCACGGUGCUAAUCAGCCGUGGUCUGACGGUACCUCCAAAGGAAGCACCGGCUAACUCCGUGCCAGCAGCCGC